AUGAUGAUCACCACUCAUCUUCUGGGUUUGCUGCUACUCUGGCUUGCAGGUGCUAGAUGUGAAAUUCAGAUGACCCAGUCUCCAGCCUCCCUGUCUUCAUCUCUGGGAGACAGUAUCACCAUAACAUGCCAGGCAGGUCAGAACAUUAAAAGUUAUUUAGUGUGGUAUCAGCAGAAACCAGGGAAACCUCCUAAGCUCCUGAUCUAUGCUACAAACAGAUUGGCAGAUGGGAUUCCUCCAAGGUUCAGUGGCAGUGGAUCUGGCACACAGUAUUCUCUUAAGAUCAGUGGUCUGCAGCCUGAAGAUGUUGCAACUUAUUAUUGUCAACAAGGUUUUCGUACUCCUCCCACAGUGAUAUAA
This is a non-coding RNA of Microtus ochrogaster (prairie vole), 360 nucleotides long. The record is from the annotation of a RefSeq genome assembly. NCBI's taxonomy places the organism in Eukaryota, Metazoa, Chordata, Mammalia, Rodentia, Cricetidae.